UAUGUUUAAAAUUUUUAUAUAAUUAUAGGUUAAAUUUUAAUUAUUUAAAAUGUAUAGUUAUAAUUUUAAAUUUUGUUAAUCGAAUUAGAUUAGUACCUAAUUAGUCAAAAGUUAAAAAAGCAGAAGUAAAGUAAAAUUUAAACUGAAAGAAUAUUGGCAGAUUUUCUAAAUUAUCUUUGGAGGUUGAGUAAUAAUUGAGAACCCUCAUUAACUACUUUUUUAGUUGUCUCAUGUAUGAUCGUUUAUUAUAUGCUUAAGGGAUAUAAUUAAAAAUUUUUAUUUAAAAAAAUAGAUAUAUAUUUGGUUUAUAUAAAAGUAAUAUUUGACCUACAGUAAUUUGUAAUUGUGGAUCUAUUUUUUAGUAAAGUAGUGAAAAUGUAAAAGACAGUAAAAAAAUUUUUAUGAUUUUUUGAA
Molecule: ribosomal RNA, 414 nt
Filed under: Uncinaria lucasi
Lineage: Eukaryota; Metazoa; Nematoda; Chromadorea; Rhabditida; Ancylostomatidae
Description: partial 12S ribosomal RNA
Source: RNAcentral